RNAcentral lists this ribosomal RNA (491 nucleotides) under uncultured bacterium. RNAcentral's name for it is "partial 16S ribosomal RNA". It matches the Rfam family "Bacterial small subunit ribosomal RNA", at positions 29 to 507 of the family's 1533-position model. The record is from RNAcentral.
AGUGAACGCUGGCGGUAGGCCUAACACAUGCAAGUCGAACGGCAGCACAGUAAGAGCUUCCUUUACGGGUGGCGGGGUGCGGGCGGGGGGGGAAUUCAACGGAAUCUUCUUUUUUGUUGGGGAAUACGUAGGGAAACCUACGGUUAUUCCGCAUACCACCUACGGGUUGAAAGCAGGGAACUUUGGAACCUUCGCGGAUGGAUUGGCCGAUGUCGGAUUAGCUAGUUGGCGGGGUAAAGGCCCACCAAGGCGACGAUCCGUAGCUGGUCUGAGAGGAUGAUCAGCCACACUGGAACUGAGACACGGUCCAGACUCCUACGGGAGGCAGCAGUGGGGAAUAUUGGACAAUGGGCGCAAGCCUGAUCCAGCCAUACCGCGUGGGUGAAGAAGGCCUUCGGGUUGUAAAGCCCUUUUGUUGGGAAAGAAAGGCAGCAGGUUAAUACCCCGCUGUUCUGACGGUACCCAAAGAAUAAGCACCGGCUAACUUCGUG